GUGUUCAAUUCGGCAGCACAUAUACUAAAAUGGGAACAGUACAGAGAAGCUUAGCAGGGCCCUGUGCAAAGAUGACACAAAUUCAUGAGGCGUUCCAUAUUUUU
This 104-nucleotide small nuclear RNA is filed under the name Zalophus californianus (California sea lion). The record is from RNAcentral. Lineage: Eukaryota; Metazoa; Chordata; Mammalia; Carnivora; Otariidae.